AUGCAAGUCGAGCGAGAAAGUUCCUUCGGGGACGAGUACAGCGGCGGACGGGUGAGUAACGCAUGAGAAUCUGCCCUUUAGUGAAGAAUACCUCCGAGAAAUCGGGGCUAAUGCUGCAUACGUCCCUUCGGGGAGAAAGAUGGCCUCUUUGCUGUCGCUAAAGGAUGAGCUUGCGUACUAUUAGCUAGUUGGUGGGGUAAUGGCCUACCAAGGCGAUGAUGGUUAGCCGGCCUGAGAGGGUGUACGGCCACAUUGGAACUUAGACACGGUCCAGACUCCUACGGGAGGCAGCAGUGAGGAAUAUUGCGCAAUGGGCGAAAGCCUGACGCAGCGACGCCGCGUGGAGGAUGACGGUCUUCGGAUUGUAAACUCCUGUUAAGUGGGAAGAAAGAUUCAUCCUUAAUACGGAUGAGAGAUGACGGUACCAUUAGAGAAAGCACCGGCUAACUUCGUGCCAGCAGCCGCGGUAAGACGAGGGGUGCAAGCGUUAUUCGGAAUCA
RNAcentral lists this ribosomal RNA (500 nucleotides) under uncultured bacterium. RNAcentral describes it as "bacterial SSU rRNA". It matches the Rfam family "Bacterial small subunit ribosomal RNA", at positions 55 to 553 of the family's 1533-position model. The record is from RNAcentral.